GGAAGACAUGAUGCGCAGACGGUGGAUGCCUCGGCGCUGGGUGCCGACGAAGGACGUGGCAACGCUGCGAUAAGACGAGGGGAGCCGCGAGCAGGCUGUGAUCCUCGUAUCUCCGAAUGGGGCAACCCCAUCACCUCGGUGAUGACCGGCCUUGGCCGGAGGGAACCUGGGGAACUGAAACAUCUCAGUACCCAGAGGAAGUAGGACCGUCCCCCUAGUAGUGGCGAGCGAACGGGGGCAUGCCCAAACGUGUUCCGUGUCAAGCGAUCAGGCGUUGCGGAAUGCGGGUUGUAAGACGGAAGACGGCACGCUGAUUCGUGCCACUGGCCCUUGGAAUGCCAAUCGAAGCAGUUUGGAACACUGCACCAGAGACCGUGAGAGUCGGGUAGAUAGCAGCUGACCAAUCCAGCCUUCCGCUCUUGAGUAGCACUCCCCACGGGCAAGGGAGUGUGAAGCUGGGGAGCCCACUCCCCAAGGCGAGCUACACCCAGUGACCGAUAGCGCACAGUACCGUGAGGGAACGGUGAAAAGUACC
This 535-nucleotide ribosomal RNA is filed under the name Chloroflexia bacterium SDU3-3. RNAcentral's name for it is "partial 23S ribosomal RNA". It matches the Rfam family "Bacterial large subunit ribosomal RNA", at positions 1 to 525 of the family's 2925-position model. Lineage: Bacteria; Bacillati; Chloroflexota; Chloroflexia. The record is from RNAcentral.